This 486-nucleotide ribosomal RNA is filed under the name uncultured bacterium. RNAcentral's name for it is "bacterial SSU rRNA". It matches the Rfam family "Bacterial small subunit ribosomal RNA", at positions 28 to 523 of the family's 1533-position model. The record is from RNAcentral.
GAUAAACGCUGGCGGCGCACAUAAGACAUGCAAGUCGAACGGACUGAAACCUAAGUUCACUUUGGUGGAAGUUAGUGGCGGACUGGUGAGUAACACGUAAGCAAUCUGCCUAUCAGAGGGGAACAACAGUUAGAAAUGACUGCUAAUACCGCAUAUGCCUAAGUAACACAUGUUACAAUAGGGAAAGAGCAAUCCGCUGAUAGAUGAGCUUGCGUCUGAUUAGAUAGUUGGUGGGGUAACGGCCUACCAAGUCGACGAUCAGUAGCCGGACUGAGAGGUUGAACGGCCACAUUGGGACUGAGAUACGGCCCAGACUCCUACGGGAGGCAGCAGUCGGGAAUAUUGCGCAAUGGAGGAAACUCUGACGCAGUGACGCCGCGUGCAGGAAGAAGGUUUUCGGAUUGUAAACUGCUUUAGACAGGGAAGAAACAAGACAGUACCUGUAGAAUAAGCUCCGGCUAACUACGUGCCAGGCAGCCGCGGUAA